ACAAUAGUUAGGAUGAAAAUUAAACUUUGAAACUACUAACAACUAAUCGGGUUUCAUUUGGUUAAGAAGAAGCUUUUAGCCCUUACUCCCCAUGUGACCUUUUGGAUGAUUUUGAGAAAAACGAAUAGGAGAUUGUUUGAGGGUAUUUUAUUUAAUGUUGCUAGCACAAGAGAGCAAUGGUUACACAACUUAAGUCUAUUUUAUUCCUGUAACACCUUUGCUAGCCUUCGCACAAAAUUUGUAUCUUGAAACCCCUAUUUAUUUGGGCAUUAAGGCCGCAUGAACUCU
Molecule: long non-coding RNA, 288 nt
Filed under: Carica papaya (papaya)
Lineage: Eukaryota; Viridiplantae; Streptophyta; Magnoliopsida; Brassicales; Caricaceae
Description: long non-coding RNA (CPAP_LNC005576)
Source: RNAcentral